CCUACGGGUGGCAGCAGUGAGGAAUAUUGGUCAAUGGGCGCAAGCCUGAACCAGCCAAGUCGCGUGCAGGAUGACGGUCCUAUGGGUUGUAAACCUCUUUUAUCCGGGAGCAAAGGCCGCCACGUGUGGCGUUCCGCUAGUACCCUAUGAAUAAGCAUCGGCUAACUCCGUGCCAGCAGCCGCGGUAAUACGGAAGGUCCGGGCGUUCUCCGGAUUUAUUGUGUUUAAAGGGUGCGUAGGCGGCAAGUCAAGUCAGCGGUUAAAUUGACGGGCUCAACCCGUGCCGAGCAGUGGAAACUGGCGUGCUUGAGUCAGCGGAAAGCAGGCGGAAUGCGUGGUGUAGCGGUGAAAUGCAUAGAUAUGACGAAGAACCCCGAUUGCGAAGGCAGCAUACUGGAGCUGAACUGACGCUGAUGCACGAAAGCGCGGGUAUCGAACAGGAUUAGAUACCCGAGUAGUC
Molecule: ribosomal RNA, 460 nt
Filed under: uncultured bacterium
Lineage: Bacteria
Description: partial 16S ribosomal RNA
Rfam family: Bacterial small subunit ribosomal RNA
Source: RNAcentral